This is an RNA transcript of Pungitius pungitius (ninespine stickleback), 1614 nucleotides long. RefSeq lists it as uncharacterized. Lineage: Eukaryota; Metazoa; Chordata; Actinopteri; Perciformes; Gasterosteidae. The transcript is spliced from 2 exons. The record is from RefSeq and is a predicted model, not a curated record.
UCCUGGACUGCUGGCGGCAGUGCACGGCCAGAAUGGGAAAGCAGAGCACCGACUGAAUUGCAGCAGCGAACACUGGACCUUCAAUUUGGCGUUUAGCUCGUUCCUAAAGGAAAUGGCAAUGUUUAAAUGUUUCCCCGCGGUGGUAUUUCAACGCAUUUAACCUUUUACUGGACUAUUCCAUCAAGCCGAGGAACGGUACAUCCGUGUGCUUUAAUUUAGAGUCCAAGCCGAGCAGCUAACGUUAGCUAGCGUAGCCGCGGUCGAGUUAAGCCAUGAGCUCUCUGGUGGGCUACGGAGUGUCCUCAGAGUCCGACAGCGACGGGGACGCGGAGUACGCGAACUAUGAGGGCGUUUGUUUAAUGGGUGGCGAGUCGUCAACUGUCCGAAAAACCCGCAACUUUUUGCUGGAGUCCGGUUCCGCGUCCAGCGGAUCCGAACCAGAGGCAGAGGACCCGAGACUCUGUUCAUCGCCUGCGCAUCCCCACACGCUGGCUUCUUUAGCAUUCCGGCCCACCGUCCCCGCCUCCCUCCCGAGUCCCCUCGCCUCCCAUAAGCUCCCCCCCCCCCUCCCUGAACACCUCCUCUGACAGCGGCGUGUUCGCGAAUCCUUUCAAGGCGCAGGCGGACCGGAAGCUCAGCGCCUUGCAGAAACACGUCCCCCUCACUAUGCAGGCCAAACCUUCCCAGAUCGGUGGUAAGAAGGUGUGCGUGUCGUACAGGAAAAAUGGACGGUGCAGGUUUGGGAUCAAGUGUAAGUUCGCUCAUGACAGUGACCUCCAGACGGACAGCCAACCGGCCGUGAGCGAGGGGACGCCGGGUUCGGAUCAGGCCGAGUACCGCGCAGGAGGAUCCCAGAACCUCAAGCAGACUAAGGAGGAGGAGGAGGAGUCAGCAGGGCAGCAUGGGAAGAAGAGGAAGGUGGGACUGAGUGACACCUUGACUCCUCCUAAGCGAGCAAUGAAGCAGUACGUCACGCAGAGGGGCCGAGAGCAGCUCAACAUGUCCUGAUGCAGCUUUCUGUCUCUCCUCUGUAGGUAAACAUGCUGUAGAAACGUCCACUAUGCAUUAAGAGGACCAGCUAAUGACUCAGGCAACAAACGGUUUCUGCUCAAGCCUGGGGGGGGGGGGGGGGGGAUUCCUUGGGUUUAUGUGUGUUGGUUCACAUCAGUGAAUAUACACUUUGGAUCAAUGUUUUUAUUUUUAUUUUUUUUAAAGUGAAUAGUUGUUUGCUCUACCAAACAUCCUAAAUCACAAUCCAGAAGAGGUGCAAUUUGGGUAUUGACAUUUGCUCUGAGGUUUCUACAUAGCUUUGCUUAUCAAAUCUCAUUUCACUUUUAAGUUCAACUUUGUGACUGUGCUUGCUGUUAUUUUAAGGGUUUGUGUGUGUGAGCUACAGCAUCCUAGGGUUUGUGAGUAGUGUAUAUACAUUAGGUGGGUCAUCAUUCCUUAAAUGUUGGUGUAACAGGUUUAAUGGCACUCCCCAGUUAGCUAAAUAUGUGUUCUUGACUUUUUACACAGCUGUAAGACUUUUUAGGUUUUCAAAUGUUUCUCCUAAGAUUAACAUUUUCUUUUAACCUUGCAAAACAAAGCAAUAAAUCUGGAUAUUAACUGAAA